Molecule: ribosomal RNA, 293 nt
Filed under: uncultured bacterium
Lineage: Bacteria
Description: partial 16S ribosomal RNA
Rfam family: Bacterial small subunit ribosomal RNA
Source: RNAcentral
GAUGAACGCUGGCGGCGUGCUUAACACAUGCAAGUCGAACGUGAGAGAUAGCAAUAUCUCUGAAAGUGGCGAACGGGUGAGUAACACGUAGGGUAAUCUGCCUCGAAGCGGGGGAUAACCACGGGAAACUGUGGCUAAUACCGCAUAGUUCUAUGCGAUUGGCAUCGCAAUAGAUAAAGCUUUAGCACUUCGACGAGGAGCCUGCGCCCGAUUAGGUAGNGGUAGGUAAUGGCCUACCAAGCCUGUGAUCGGUAGCUGGUCUGAGAGGACGAUCAGCCACAUGGGAACUGAGA